GCCGUAGAAGCCUUGGCGGUGAGGCACCAGGUUUCCACCCUGGCUAACGGAGUUCGACUCUCCGCUACGGCU
Molecule: transfer RNA, 72 nt
Filed under: Actinomadura rudentiformis
Lineage: Bacteria; Bacillati; Actinomycetota; Actinomycetes; Streptosporangiales; Thermomonosporaceae
Also listed under: 1 other name
Rfam family: tRNA
About the family: Transfer RNA (tRNA) molecules are approximately 80 nucleotides in length. Their secondary structure includes four short double-helical elements and three loops (D, anti-codon, and T loops). Further hydrogen bonds mediate the characteristic L-shaped molecular structure. tRNAs have two regions of fundamental functional importance: the anti-codon, which is responsible for specific mRNA codon recognition, and the 3' end, to which the tRNAs corresponding amino acid is attached (by aminoacyl-tRNA synthetases). tRNAs cope with the degeneracy of the genetic code in two manners: having more than one tRNA (with a specific anti-codon) for a particular amino acid; and 'wobble' base-pairing, i.e. permitting non-standard base-pairing at the 3rd anti-codon position.
Source: Rfam by way of RNAcentral